UUAUGGCAUUUCUCUCCUGUAUCAGGCUGCUUUUAUUAGAUUCCAUUGAUUCCCACCAGGAAAUGCACUUGAUUCCUUCCGGACUUGAUGGAUGGCCUGAUCAAAUGACUAGGGAAGUCCCCAAGUGGAGCCCUCACAAGGUGCUCGGAGGACAGAAGCACCGUGGUUUGCAGCCACUCGACUGCUGCAGGCCUGGACCAACGGUUGGUCCACGGAUGGGAUCAUAAAGAGGCAGCGGCACAACUGCAAAUACUCGUGAGGAGGUGCUGUCGGUCGAGGUGUAUGCUUUCAGAGUGGCGGUGGAAGGCGUUGGUUUGGCCAACCUCGGGCGCAUGGUCACGGGCUCACGGCGCGGCUGGGAGGCAAUGGGCAAAACGUCGCUCGACGUCUGCUUGCCGAGAUGACCGCUGUCCGUCAGCAUCCGGGGAAAUUCAGAGUGCAGGCACGCGCUCGCGGCGGAUACAGCAAACCUGUCGGCCAUGAACCGGGAGGUGCACUCCGUCCGACCUAUUUCACAACUUCUUUUUUGUGUCCUUCGCUUUUACGUCUAAAAGGCAAAAUCGUGGGUUUUGCUACUAUUCUCGCUAUAUACUCC
Molecule: long non-coding RNA, 595 nt
Organism: Panicum hallii
Lineage: Eukaryota; Viridiplantae; Streptophyta; Magnoliopsida; Poales; Poaceae
Exons: 3
Source: RefSeq, a predicted model, not a curated record